GUGCCUAGUCUGUGGGCUGUCUUGGAGAAAGCAUGACUCAGCUUGGUCCUGGACCCUGGCCCGAGACCAAUCAGGAGCUGAAGUGAUGAUUCAUAAGGAUAA
Long non-coding RNA from Sapajus apella (tufted capuchin), 102 nucleotides. RefSeq lists it as uncharacterized. The transcript has 3 exons. Lineage: Eukaryota; Metazoa; Chordata; Mammalia; Primates; Cebidae. The record is from RefSeq and is a predicted model, not a curated record.